Molecule: ribosomal RNA, 893 nt
Filed under: Dorylaimus sp.
Lineage: Eukaryota; Metazoa; Nematoda; Enoplea; Dorylaimida; Dorylaimidae
Description: SSU rRNA
Rfam family: Eukaryotic small subunit ribosomal RNA
Source: RNAcentral
GCCAUGCAUGUCUAAGCACAUGCCUUAAUACGGUGAAGCCGCGAAUAGCUUCCAUUUACAACAGCCACCGUUUACUAGAAUAUAGUUAUCUUACUUGGAUAACUUGUGGCAAUUCUAGAGCUAAUACAUGCAUAAAAGCUCUGCCCGCAAGGAACGAGCGCAUUUAUUAGAAUAAAAACCAAUCGGGUUUCGGCCCGUAAUUUGGUGAAUCUGAAUAACUUUGCCAAUCGCACAGUCCUAGUACUGGCGAUGUAUCUUUCAAGUGUCUGCCUUAUCAACUUUCGAUGGUAGGUUAUACGCCUACCAUGGUAGUAACGGGUAACGGAGAAUAAGGGUUCGACUCCGGAGAGGGAGCCUGAGAAACGGCUACCACAUCCAAGGAAGGCAGCAGGCGCGCAAAUUACCCACUUCCAGUACGGAGAGGUAGUGACGAAAAAUAACGAGACAGUCCUCUUCGAGGUCUGUCAUCGGAAUGGGUACAAUUUAAAUCCUUUAACGAGGAUCUAUUGGAGGGCAAGUCUGGUGCCAGCAGCCGCGGUAAUUCCAGCUCCAAUAGCGUAUAUUAAAGUUGUUGCGGUUAAAACGCUCGUAGUUGGAUCUGCGGCCUCGGAGAACGGUCCCCCGAAAGGGCGGUCACUGUCUCUCCUAGCCUAAAUUCGAGUCGUCUCUAGGUGCUCUUUACCGAGUGCUUAGAGUGACUAGAACGUUUACUUUGAAAAAAUUAGAGUGCUUAAAGCAGGCGCAAUAGCCUGAAUAAGGUGCAUGGAAUAAUGGAAUAGGACCUCGGUUUUAUUUUGUUGGUUUUCGAAACCCGAGGUAAUGAUUAAGAGGAACAGACGGGGGCAUUCGUAUUCCGGCGCUAGAGGUGAAAUUCUUGGACCGCCGGAAGACGG